GCCGCUUUAGUAUAGUGGUAAUACGCAUCCAUGGUAAGGAUGAACGGGCAGUUCAAUUCUGCCAAGCGGCACCA
This 74-nucleotide transfer RNA is filed under the name Lachnospiraceae bacterium. RNAcentral's name for it is "tRNA-Thr". It matches the Rfam family "tRNA". From Rfam's summary of the family: Transfer RNA (tRNA) molecules are approximately 80 nucleotides in length. RNAcentral also lists the same sequence under 6 other names. Lineage: Bacteria; Bacillati; Bacillota; Clostridia; Lachnospirales; Lachnospiraceae. The record is from RNAcentral.